AUACGUAGGUGGCAAGCGUUGUCCGGAAUUAUUGGGCGUAAAGGGCGUGUAGGUGGAUGAUUAAGUCUUGUGUCUAAGUGCGGAGCUCAACUCCGUAUGGGCGCGGGAAACUGGUUAUCUUGAGUGCAGGAGAGGAAAGUGGAAUUCCCAGUGUAGCGGUGAAAUGCGUAGAUAUUGGGAGGAACACCAGUGGCGAAGGCGACUUUCUGGACUGUGUCUGACACUGUGGCGCGAAAGCUAGGGGAGCGAACGGGAUUAGAUACCCCGGUAGUCCUAGCCGUAAACGAUGGGUACUAGGUGUAGAGGGUAUCGACCCCCUCUGUGCCGCAAGCAAACGCAAUAAGUACCCCGCCUGGGGAGUACGGCCGCAAGGUUGA
Molecule: ribosomal RNA, 377 nt
Filed under: uncultured bacterium
Lineage: Bacteria
Description: bacterial SSU rRNA
Rfam family: Bacterial small subunit ribosomal RNA
Source: RNAcentral